RNAcentral lists this non-coding RNA (28 nucleotides) under Bombyx mori (domestic silkworm). The record is from RNAcentral. Lineage: Eukaryota; Metazoa; Arthropoda; Insecta; Lepidoptera; Bombycidae.
UCCGAUGUGAUGUUGGUGAGCUCCGGGU